RNAcentral lists this ribosomal RNA (497 nucleotides) under uncultured bacterium. RNAcentral's name for it is "partial 16S ribosomal RNA". It matches the Rfam family "Bacterial small subunit ribosomal RNA", at positions 28 to 507 of the family's 1533-position model. The record is from RNAcentral.
GAUGAACGCUGGCGGCGUGCCUAAUACAUGCAAGUCGAGCGAACGGACGAGAAGCUUGCUUCUCUGAUGUUAGCGGCGGACGGGUGAGUAACACGUGUAUAACCUACCUAUAAGACUGGUAUAACUUCGGGAAACCGGAGCUAAUCCCGGAUAAUAUUUUGAACCGCAUGGUUCAAAAGUGAAAGUCGGUCUUUCUGUCACUUAUAGAUGGAUCCGCGCUGCAUUAGCUGGUUGUUAAGGUAACGGGUUACCAAGGCAACGAUGCAUAGCCGACCUGAGAGGGUGAUCGGCCACCCUGGAACGGAGACACGGUCAAGACUCCUACGAGAGGCAGCAGUAGGGAACCUUCCGCAAUGGGCGAAAGCAUGACGGAGCAACGCCGCGUGAGUGAUGAAGGUCUUCGGAUCGUAAAAAUCUGUUAUGAGGGAAGAACAGAUGUGUAAGUAACUGUGCACAGCUUGACGGUACCUAAUCAGAAAGCCACGGCUAACUACGUG